AGCAAUCGACGGAAGGCCUGCAGCUUGCUGCGGGUACUCGAGUGGCGAACGGGUGAGUAACACGUGGGUGAUCUGCCUUGCACUUCGGGAUAAGCUUGGGAAACUGGGUCUAAUACCGGAUAGGACAGCUGUUUAGUGUCAGUUGUGGAAAGUUUUUUCGGUGCAAGAUGAGCUCGCGGCCUAUCAGCUUGUUGGUGGGGUAAUGGCCUACCAAGGCGUCGACGGGUAGCCGGCCUGAGAGGGUGUACGGCCACAUUGGGACUGAGAUACGGCCCAGACUCCUACGGGAGGCAGCAGUGGGGAAUAUUGCACAAUGGGCGGAAGCCUGAUGCAGCGACGCCGCGUGGGGGAUGAAGGCCUUCGGGUUGUAAACUCCUUUCGACAGGGACGAAGCGUAAGUGACGGUACCUGUAUAAGAAGCACCGGCUAACUACGUGCCAGCAGCCGCGGUAAUACGUAGGGUGCGAGCGUUGUCCGGAAUUACUGGGCGUAAAGAGCUCGUAGGUGGUUUGUCGCGUCGUCUGUGAAAUUCCGGGGCUUAACUCCGGGCGUGCAGGCGAUACGGGCUGACUUGAGUGCUGUAGGGGAGACUGGAAUUCCUGGUGUAGCGGUGAAAUGCGCAGAUAUCAGGAGGAACACCGAUGGCGAAGGCAGGUCUCUGGGCAGUAACUGACGCUGAGGAGCGAAAGCAUGGGUAGCGAACAGGAUUAGAUACCCUGGUAGUCCAUGCCGUAAACGGUGGGCGCUAGGUGUAGGGGGCUUCCACGUCUUCUGUGCCGUAGCUAACGCAUUAAGCGCCCCGCCUGGGGAUAC
Molecule: ribosomal RNA, 813 nt
Filed under: uncultured Actinomycetes bacterium
Lineage: Bacteria; Bacillati; Actinomycetota; Actinomycetes
Description: bacterial SSU rRNA
Rfam family: Bacterial small subunit ribosomal RNA
Source: RNAcentral